This 900-nucleotide ribosomal RNA is filed under the name uncultured bacterium. RNAcentral's name for it is "bacterial SSU rRNA". It matches the Rfam family "Bacterial small subunit ribosomal RNA", at positions 9 to 908 of the family's 1533-position model. The record is from RNAcentral.
GAGUUUGAUCCUGGCUCAGGAUGAACGCUAGCGGCAGGCUUAAUACAUGCAAGUCGAACGGGAUUCAGAUUAGCAAUAAUUUGAUGAGAGUGGCGCACGGGUGCGUAACACGUAUGCAACCUACCUUUAACUGGUGAAUAGCCCCGGGAAAUCGGGAUUAAUACACCAUAACAUUACUAAAAGGCAUCUUUUGGCAAUUAAAGAACUUCGGUUAGAGAUGGGCAUGCGGGACAUUAGCUAGUUGGUGAGGUAACGGCUCACCAAGGCGACGAUGUCUAGGGGUCCUGAGAGGGUUAUCCCCCACACUGGUACUGAGACACGGACCAGACUCCUACGGGAGGCAGCAGUAAGGAAUAUUGGUCAAUGGGCGCAAGCCUGAACCAGCCAUGCCGCGUGCAGGAAGACGGCCCUAUGGGUUGUAAACUGCUUUUGUCAGGGAAUAAAUGUAGGUACGUGUACUUACUUGAAGGUACCUGAAGAAUAAGCAUCGGCUAACUCCGUGCCAGCAGCCGCGGUAAUACGGAGGAUGCAAGCGUUAUCCGGAUUCAUUGGGUUUAAAGGGUGCGCAGGCGGAUUGGUAAGUCAGGGGUGAAAUCCCACAGCUCAACUGUGGAACUGCCUUUGAUACUGUCAGUCUAGAGUAUAGUUGAAGUUGGCGGAAUGUGUCAUGUAGCGGUGAAAUGCUUAGAUAUGACACAGAACACCGAUCGCGAAGGCAGCUAGCUAAGCUAUAACUGACGCUCAUGCACGAAAGCGUGGGGAUCAAACAGGAUUAGAUACCCUGGUAGUCCACGCUGUAAACGAUGAUUACUCGAUGUUGGCGAUACACAGUCAGCGUCUGAGCGAAAGCAAUAAGUAAUCCACCUGGGGAGUACGAUCGCAAGAUUGAAACUCAAGGAA